AUUUUGUUUCGAGAGUGAUGGGAGAGAAGAGAGAGGAGUUGUUGAUGGGUUAAGAUUGUAGUUGCAGUUAUGAAAUAAGUGCCUUUUAUGAAAUGUAAAAUACGCAACUGUUUCCAUUGAAUGAAUGUAUGAUAACAAAAAAACCAUUCAUUCAUUCAGACAAAAAAAAAAGAAGAAUAGGCAUUACAUUACAUAACAUUACACCACAUUUCAAUAGAGGGAGAUAGUUUUUUUUAUCUCUCUCGUCCUUUACGUUGUUGUUCUUUUUUGGCUUUUUGGAACAAAUUAAUUAACAGCCAUGGAUGACAAGGCUUCUGUUUCCAAAGAGCUUAAUGCCAAACAUGCAAAGAUAUUGGAGGGCCUUCUUAAGCUUCCAAAAAAUAGGAAAUGUGCAGAUUGUCGGUGAAGGGCCCAAAGGUAGGCGAGCAUCAACCUUGGGAUAUUCAUUUGUUUGCAAUGUUCAGGAAUUCAUAGGAGUCUUGGGGUGCAUAUCUCUAAG
Molecule: long non-coding RNA, 499 nt
Organism: Capsicum annuum
Lineage: Eukaryota; Viridiplantae; Streptophyta; Magnoliopsida; Solanales; Solanaceae
Exons: 3
Source: RefSeq, a predicted model, not a curated record